This 433-nucleotide long non-coding RNA is filed under the name Drosophila guanche. The record is from RNAcentral. Lineage: Eukaryota; Metazoa; Arthropoda; Insecta; Diptera; Drosophilidae.
ACGUGGUGAAAAUUUUGCAAAACCAUAAAAGGGAUAUAAACCAAAUAAAAAACAAUAUAAAAGUGUUGUGGCUGCAAAGACGAAAACUUAAAAAACCAACCCCUGGAUAAGGUACGCCAAGAAAAAAAUGGAAAAGUGACCUGUAAUAAGGUAAAUAAUUCCAUGUAUUUACUGUACACAGGUUAUGAUCCACGUGUGGCAGGAAAUUGCUGACCUGGCCUGACCCUCGGUCUCGGAGGGGGGUCCGCUCCAGUACCACGAUCAUCCGUCCCUCUUUUUGGUGCCACCGGACCUUGCCUGCAGGCGAAAAAACGGAUGGACUUGGCGAUCGGGACCUAUGCGCACUUAAAUAGACCCACCUGACCGUAUGUCACCUAUUCUCUCCUUCUCUCAGGUUAUUAAAAUUGUUCGAUGCCGAAAUUCUAAAAGCCAC